This 708-nucleotide ribosomal RNA is filed under the name Mycobacterium sp. L1991. RNAcentral's name for it is "bacterial SSU rRNA". It matches the Rfam family "Bacterial small subunit ribosomal RNA", at positions 20 to 742 of the family's 1533-position model. The record is from RNAcentral. Lineage: Bacteria; Bacillati; Actinomycetota; Actinomycetes; Mycobacteriales; Mycobacteriaceae.
UGGCUCAGGACGAACGCUGGCGGCGUGCUUAACACAUGCAAGUCGAACGGAAAGGCCCUUUCGGGGGUGCUCGAGUGGCGAACGGGUGAGUAACACGUGGGUGAUCUGCCCUGCACUUUGGGAUAAGCCUGGGAAACUGGGUCUAAUACCGAAUACACCUCGCUGGCUGCAUGGUUGGUGGGGGAAAGCUUUUGCGGUGUGGGAUGGGCCCGCGGCCUAUCAGCUUGUUGGUGGGGUGAUGGCCUACCAAGGCGACGACGGGUAGCCGGCCUGAGAGGGUGUCCGGCCACACUGGGACUGAGAUACGGCCCAGACUCCUACGGGAGGCAGCAGUGGGGAAUAUUGCACAAUGGGCGCAAGCCUGAUGCAGCGACGCCGCGUGAGGGAUGACGGCCUUCGGGUUGUAAACCUCUUUCAGCAUCGACGAAGCGCAAGUGACGGUAGAUGCAGAAGAAGCACCGGCCAACUACGUGCCAGCAGCCGCGGUAAUACGUAGGGUGCGAGCGUUGUCCGGAAUUACUGGGCGUAAAGAGCUCGUAGGUGGUUUGUCGCGUUGUCCGUGAAAACUCACAGCUCAACUGUGGGCGUGCGGGCGAUACGGGCAGACUGGAGUACUGCAGGGGAGACUGGAAUUCCUGGUGUAGCGGUGGAAUGCGCAGAUAUCAGGAGGAACACCGGUGGCGAAGGCGGGUCUCUGGGCAGUAACUG